UGGGGAAUUUUGGACAAUGGGCGAAAGCCUGAUCCAGCAAUGCCGCGUGUGUGAAGAAGGCCUUCGGGUUGUAAAGCACUUUUGUCCGGAAAGAAAUCCUUGGCUCUAAUACAGUCGGGGGAUGACGGUACCGGAAGAAUAAGCACCGGCUAACUACGUGCCAGCAGCCGCGGUAAUACGUAGGGUGCAAGCGUUAAUCGGAAUUACUGGGCGUAAAGCGUGCGCAGGCGGUUUGCUAAGACCGAUGUGAAAUCCCCGGGCUCAACCUGGGAACUGCAUUGGUGACUGGCAGGCUAGAGUAUGGCAGAGGGGGGUAGAAUUCCACGUGUAGCAGUGAAAUGCGUAGAGAUGUGGAGGAAUACCGAUGGCGAAGGCAGCCCCCUGGGCCAAUACUGACGCUCAUGCACGAAAGCGUGGGGAGCAAACAGGAUUAGAUACCCU
Molecule: ribosomal RNA, 441 nt
Filed under: uncultured bacterium
Lineage: Bacteria
Description: partial 16S ribosomal RNA
Rfam family: Bacterial small subunit ribosomal RNA
Source: RNAcentral